CAGAUUUUAUGCAGAUCAAUUGCCUAAUGGCUUUGAAUGGAUGAUGCAAAUCAAAAAAUGCAAAUUAAACAAAUAUGUAUAUCAAGAAGAACAAAUGCAAAUCAAAUAUGUUAAUCAAUACAAAUACAUAUCUACCAGAUCAAACUAAUUUACUGAGUCAACGUAUUUAACCGAAUGUUAAAAAAGUAAACAUAAUAAAAAUAAAGAUCUAAAACAAAACAUAACUUAAUAUAAAUAAGUACAAAAUAACUUGUUGACGAAAACAACAAUAAAUAUAAUAUAUUAAAAUUUUAAAAAUAUAUAAAAAAUUAUUAAAAUGACAAAGAGUAUUCCUUUUCCUCCUUAAUUAUUUUUAUAAUAAUUUUCUUGAUGUUUGUCAUAAAACUACAUUAUCCAAUUUUUACUUCUUUCACACCAUUGGGUUAUUUUCAACCUUAUUUCUCUACAAAUAUUAAAGUUUCAGAUUAUAUCCC
Molecule: long non-coding RNA, 473 nt
Filed under: Brassica napus (rape)
Lineage: Eukaryota; Viridiplantae; Streptophyta; Magnoliopsida; Brassicales; Brassicaceae
Description: long non-coding RNA (BNAP_LNC026332)
Source: RNAcentral